UACGUAGGGUGCGAGCGUUAAUCGGAAUUACUGGGCGUAAAAGUGUGCGCAGGCGGCCUGAGCAAGUCGAGUGUGAAAGCCCCCGAGCUUAACUUGGGAACUGCGCUCGAAACUACUUGGCUAGAGUGUGGCAGAGGGAGGUGGAAUUCCACGUGUAGCGGUGAAAUGCGUAGAGAUGUGGAGGAACACCGAUGGCGAAGGCAGCCUCCUGGGCCAAGCACUGACGCUCAUGCACGAAAGCGUGGGAGCAAACAGG
This 256-nucleotide ribosomal RNA is filed under the name uncultured bacterium. Its description in RNAcentral is "partial 16S ribosomal RNA". It matches the Rfam family "Bacterial small subunit ribosomal RNA", at positions 524 to 776 of the family's 1533-position model. The record is from RNAcentral.